Molecule: antisense RNA, 508 nt
Filed under: Nocardia sp. NRRL S-836
Lineage: Bacteria; Bacillati; Actinomycetota; Actinomycetes; Mycobacteriales; Nocardiaceae
Description: Saccharopolyspora sRNA 350
Rfam family: Saccharopolyspora sRNA 350
Source: Rfam by way of RNAcentral
UUGACCGAGUACUCCCACUCGCCCUGCGGGCCGGCGAGCACGGUCUCGCCGAAGUACUCGCCGUCGGCCAUGUUGCCGAGCACGGUCUCGCCGCCGUACUCGCCGGUGCCGAUCUUGUCGACCUUGCCGUGCGCGAUCAGCACGACCUGGUCCUGCGGACGGCCCUUCUCGACGAUGACGUCGCCGACGCGGUACUCGCGCUGCUGGAAGCGGCCGGCCAGCGCGGCCAGCACGGCGUCGUCGUCGAACCCGCGCAGCAGCGACAGCUCGGUGAGCUCCAUCGGGAUGACGCGGAUGUCGGCGCCGGUGUUGGUGAACGAGACACGUCCAUCGCCGAGCGUGUAGGUGAGACGGCGGUUGACCCGGUACGCACCACCCGCCGCCUGCACCCAGGGCAGCACCUUGAGCAGCCAGCGGGAGGUGAUCCCCUGCAUCUGCGGAACGGACUUGGUGGUCGUGGCCAGAUUACGAGCGGCGGCCGUGCCCAAACUCAGCUGCUGACGGCCCU